UUAUGGAUUAAUCAUGUGGUAAUAAAAAUUCUAGUUCUCCCAAAUUAAGGUACAAAAUUAAUGUAAUAUUUAAAACCUCAUUAGGCCCAAAACAUUAAUUGAUUAAUUGGUAAGAUCCAUACGUUUUUAAAUUACAUGUGUUUAUGGACCAGGUCCAAUAUAAUUUAAAUUGAUUUGCCCAAAAGGCCAGAUAAUUGAGUCCAAUUACACAACAGUUUUUUUUCCGGGAAGUAACAAAAAAAACGUACCUAAAGUCAACAACUUUUGGCCAUUCGUUUGUCGGUGUAAAGAUAAAAAACCAAACCAUCUUCGUCUCUCUCUGCUCUUGUUCCAUGGAAUCGAUCCGCAAGAUUUUACUAAUCUGACGACUCAAUUCGUUGAGAUUGAUUGCCACAGAUCAUUUCCAUCCUCAUCCAUGAGAUUUCCUAAGUCGAUAUCUGUAAGAUUCAAGAUGAGUCAUGACAAACGAAAAGGCUAUUUCGUAUCCGCAAAAUCUAAAUCAAUAUCAUAUUUUGGAACAGAAGCAAAAUUCAUCAAGACAAUGGCGAAACAGUUUUUGGACAGGUAACAAUAAAGUGUUCUUAAAAGGACAUAAGAAGAGUUGUAGAAAUCUGCAUUAGCUUAUACAAAAGAUAAGUGGACAGCAAAUAUUUAUAUACUCACGUUUUAUCAGUAAGUCUCUGAAAAGACUUGUAUUUCUUAUACAUUAGCUAAUUAACCACUUUUAUAUAUGUUUCAGCCAGCUUCUUACAAAUCCCUUUCAGAGAGAGUUCUGUCAUAUAUGGAUGUAUUGAAGAAACACUUCCAAAGAGAGAAUUUCAGAUAACAAAGGAUUUGAUGCAGUUACUUGGGCUUGGAACCUUGAUGCAAAGUUCGACCGAAUAUCAUUCAGCAGUCUUGGAAAAACAGUACUCAAAGGCCUCUAUAUGAUGUUAACAUGAUGUAGGAAAUGCGCAGUGAUAACAGGAACUUUGAUCUACCAUGAAUUUAAAGGAGGACUCGCUGACAGUGGAAUUGCCUAAGAUGGACAUCUUGAAUCUAUGACUCGUUUCUCUGUACUUCCCGGUAGCUGGGUGAAGAGAGAAAUUCUCGAGCAACCUCCAUUCACCAAUCUUAAAUUUCCUAACACGAGCAAAGAAGAGCCUCUUGCAGGUACAAUGUAUCUUGAAUCCCUACAAAAAAAUAAUAAUCAUACAUUGGUUUAGUCAAUGGCAAAAAAACGUAAAGAACAAAAACGGUUUAACAGAAAUAGACAUACCAUCUUAUCUGCGAGUAUGAACUCGAGAGAGUCUCCACCGGAAUAGUUUGAGUGUUGUGUCCACGAAUGAAGCACUUUGACUUCAACUUUCCAAGUAGUCUUAAAUGGUUUGACAUUGUUCAACAUAGUGAUCGCGUUGUUUCUAACCAUAGCCAUAUUAGUUUCUUUUUAUCGUGAGGUGUGGAGAAAUGUUGUGGUAGAAGAUUAUUUAUAGUGUUUCGGGUGAAAAUGCUAGGUUUAAUGACGAUGGAAUGGCAUAUUCGGAGUUCCAUAUAUUAUGGGAUUGUUAGAAUAUUUUGCUUUUCAUUUUUUUAAAAACUAUAUUGUUACGAAUACUGUUAGAAUUUUAAUGAACAUACUGUUAGAAUAUUCGGACUAAUGAUUGUAUUAAGAAAAUAUCGAAACUAAAUUAAGUUGUGAGAUAUUCUUUAGUUUGGAAGGAACGUUAUUGUAGAUUUGAUCAAAUCUAUUGUUAAUAUGUUAGAAUAUUCUAGACGAUUAGAUAUACAUUAACGCUUUUAACGGGGGAUAAGGGAUACAUAACCGAGUAUUAUUUUAAUUUAUAUUGGAAUCGUCAAUUCCGGUUAUUUGCUUGAACCAAAGCUGGUCUGUUUUAAAUAUUUCGGUUGAAAUAAUUUAAGUAGCGUGUAUCCAAUAUUAUUGUAACAAUCUAGAAAGGGUCCAAAACUAAAUGACAACUUUCAACAGUAGAUAAAAAUAGGACUCUAAAUUAAUAGAGUAGAUUUUUAAAAAAAAAGUUCCAGUAGGGUUAUUAUUUGUAUUAAAUGCUAAUGUUAUAAUUUAUCAAUUUAAAUAUCAAAUUAUUCAUAACUGACAGCGCAGAAGUUUUAGUACAUGCCUAGAUAUCUCGUGAAUGGGUUUUUAUUCAAAUUGGGGAUAUAAAAAUGGGAUUACUAAUUCAAUACUCCUAUGACCUAUCAUACGUUACCUUUGACGUGUACGCCGACCAUACACUCGUUGACGUUUAGUGCUACCUACCCGGGUUUAUUUAAGAGACAGGUCGAUUGAACAUAUAUUUUUCUUAAAUUGGGCUAGAGGUAAUCAAAAAUCCAUCACAUUUUGUCCGUUUGUCAAAAUAUAGUUAACUUUUAUUUUUCACCAAUUAAAACAAUUAUCAUCUUCUUUUCAAAAUUUUUUUUAUCAUCUUCCGAUAUAAAAUAAGGGAAAAUUCCUCAAAAAUACACGGACUAAUAUUUAUUUG
This is a long non-coding RNA of Brassica napus (rape), 2480 nucleotides long. RefSeq lists it as uncharacterized. The transcript has 6 exons. NCBI's taxonomy places the organism in Eukaryota, Viridiplantae, Streptophyta, Magnoliopsida, Brassicales, Brassicaceae. The record is from RefSeq and is a predicted model, not a curated record.